Molecule: ribosomal RNA, 402 nt
Filed under: uncultured bacterium
Lineage: Bacteria
Description: bacterial SSU rRNA
Rfam family: Bacterial small subunit ribosomal RNA
Source: RNAcentral
UGGGGAAUAUUGCACAAUGGGCGAAAGCCUGAUGCAGCAACGCCGCGUGAGUGAUGAAGGCCUUCGGGUUGUAAAGCUCUGUCUUCUGGGACGAUAAUGACGGUACCAGAGGAGGAAGCCACGGCUAACUACGUGCCAGCAGCCGCGGUAAUACGUAGGUGGCAAGCGUUGUCCGGAUUUACUGGGCGUAAAGGAUGCGUAGGCGGAUACUUAAGUCAGAUGUGAAAAUCCCGGGCUUAACUUGGGAACUGCAUUUGAAACUGGGUAGCUAGAGUGCGGGAGAGGAAAGUAGAAUUCCUAGUGUAGCGGUGAAAUGCGUAGAGAUUAGGAAGAACACCAGUGGCGAAGGCGACUUUCUGGACCGUAACUGACGCUGAGGCAUGAAAGCGUGGGGAGCAAACA